AGGAUAAAAGGUUAUUUAAAUGAAUGAGGUAAGGAUAAAAUAACAAGAAUUAUUUUUAUGUUUUAUUAAUUAGUAUGAAUAAAGUUGAUAAAAUUAUAGGGAACAAGUAUUGUAAAAGAAAUUUUUGGUUUAUUGUAAAGAAAAAUUUGUGUUUUGUACCUUGUGUAUCAGGGUUUAUUAAAUAAAUUUUAAGGGUUUAAAUUUCUCGAAUUUAAAAGAGUUAUGAAUAUAAUUUUUUAUUGUGGCAUAAAUAUGGAUAAUAUAUUUAUAGAAGUGAAAUGCUAUACGAUUUUAAGUUUAUCUAGUUUUUAAAGAAAAAAAUUCAAUUUUUUUUUUAUUAUUCAUUUGAUUUAUUUUUUAAAAUGAUGAUAGUAAAAUUUUACGUUUCUAGGGAUGAGCUUAGAGACAGAUCUAUAUAACUAUAUACGGUGAUAUAAGGGUAUUAAGUAGGAAUGAAAGUUUUUAUCUUUAUUAGUGUGUUGUUACUAGUUACUUGAUUAAUUAAUUUUUAUGGGGUUUAUAUUUUUUAUUUAAACUUAGGUUUUAAUUUUUAUAAUUUAGAGAUAAUGAUAAAAUUAGUAUAAUGUAAAGUAAAAUAUAAAGUUUUAUAAAAGGUUUUUUAAAGGAAUUCGGCAAAUAUAUUUUUCACCUGUUUAAUAAAAACAUGGCUUAUUGAUAAUAAUUUUAAGUCUAGCCUGCCCAAUGAGUGAUUGAAUGGCCGCGGUACAUUGACCGUGCAAAGGUAGCAUAAUCAUUAGUUUUUUAAUUGAAAGCUGGAAUGAAUGGUUUAAUGAAAAAGUUUCUGUCUCUAGAAAAGUUUACUAGAAUUUUAUUUUUAAGUUAAAAAGCUUAAAUAUGUAUAGAAGACGAGAAGACCCUAUAGAGUUUUACAUUUACUAUAAAGUAAUAAUUGUAGGUUAAAUUUUAUGUUGUUUUGUAGGAGUGUUUUGUUGGGGUGAUAGAAAAAUUAACUGAACUUUUUUUAAAGUAAGAACAUUGAUUUAUGAAUAGUUGAUCCUAAAAUUUAGAUUAUAAGACAAAAUUACCUUAGGGAUAACAGCGUAAUCUUCUUUAGAGUUCUUAUCGAAUAGGGGGAUUGCGACCUCGAUGUUGGAUUAAAAUUUACUUUUGGUGAAGGAGCUAAGAAGUUAGGUCUGUUCGACCUUGAAAAUUUUACAUGAUCUGAGUUUAAACCGGUGUGAGCCAGGUUGGUUUCUAUCUCUAUAAAGAUAAUAUAUUUUAGUACGAAAGGACCAAAUAUUUAAUUGAUAAUUUUAAAAAACAGAAUGAUAUUAA
Molecule: ribosomal RNA, 1296 nt
Filed under: Trigonopterus porg
Lineage: Eukaryota; Metazoa; Arthropoda; Insecta; Coleoptera; Curculionidae
Description: 16S ribosomal RNA
Rfam family: Archaeal large subunit ribosomal RNA (bases 602-1296)
Source: RNAcentral